Ochlerotatus camptorhynchus is the source of this 1731-nucleotide long non-coding RNA. RefSeq lists it as uncharacterized. The record is from RefSeq and is a predicted model, not a curated record. The transcript has 4 exons. NCBI's taxonomy places the organism in Eukaryota, Metazoa, Arthropoda, Insecta, Diptera, Culicidae.
UUAAUUCUUACCAUCUAAACUAUCCUACUGGUGACGGAAAUGCUUAUGUGGUGAGUCUCUCUGCUUUGAAUGUUAUCUUCUUUCAAGUUGCGUGUUUUCAUAUUUUGAUUAACAUAAUCACUCAUCAUACGACGCUUAAACCUAGUACCUAACAUGCAUGUCACCCAUUGUUACAACUUAUUUCGACAUUUAAUACCUGUUUAUCCUGUGAACAGGAUAACGGAUUGCGUGCCAUUAGUCCCGCCACGGUUACCAUAGUUAUGGAUAUUUUGUCCAAGCGGGAAAGCGAUUCGAGCUUACGCCAGCUCGUACUGCAAUGUUUCACCAUGAUGGCAAUCAUAUUGCAAAAAUCUAGUCCUGAACAGCGCCAAAUCGAUUUACUUACUAUUUUUCAACUGUAUCUGGGAGCCGUUCACACCUUACUGGAAACGGAACAUUUCCUGCAGAAAGGAUCGCCGAGGUUAUAUUUCGAGGUGAAAGUUUCGAGGUGUCGCCAAAUGAUGAUAAUUACAUUGACGUCGGGGCUCUGACUACUAUUAUCGGAGUGAUAGAGCACUUCCUACAGGGGCACGUAAACAAGCAUGUACUGUGCAAUGCCAUGUUCGAAGCAAAAUUUAUACCCAGUCUAGUGCUGAUCACGGAACGAGUUAAGAUCUGGCAUAUCGAUCAUCAAACAUUGGGCUCAACACUGGUCAGGAAUUUCCAUAAGCUUUGCAGCAGUUCUGAAAAAAUCCACUACAAUCUAAUGCAUACCAACAACGUGAACGUUUUGUUCGAUGGAUUGAAACUUUUCGGGCGACCGUCUCACGAUUUGGUAUGCGAUUGUUUGUACUUUGCCUUCGAGGGAGGCGAAUACCAUAGUUUGAACGCUCGAAUCGUUAUCAAGCUGGUGGAGUGGAUACCUGUGAUGGCUGAGGCGGAACAAAACUACACCAGUGACGUACUGCUGAAGAAGUGUUCGGCCAGCAUUCAAAGCAAACAUUCAAUAUCGGAGCAACGGAUGAUUAAGUGUAUCGUGGAUUACUGCUUGGAAGAUCAACAUAAAUUGUCAGCGAAAUGCGCUAUAAAUUUGCUUAAACUAAUAGAGGAACUCGCCAAGCAUAGUAUCCACCCGAAUAUCUCCGGUUGCUCAGGAACGAGGCUAACUUUGAGUAUAGAAAACAGUUACUGGAAGUCAUUAUGAAGGUUUCUCAACAGGCUGUCACUUGGAAUUACCCCGAUAGAGUAUCUGGAUAUCCAAGGUAACACAAAUGGCAUUACAAUUCCCGAAAUACGUAAAUGGGAUACCGCCCAUGGGUUCGUGUUUCAUGCUUGGGUUCGACUUGAUAAAGACGUAGAACAUUUCAACGACGCGGAAGGCAUCAAUCUGCAAAACUAUCGCAGACAUUUAUUCAGCUUGACGACGAAUUUCGGAACCGGGUAUGAAUUUUUCAUCCAGAAAAACGGCAAUUUUGUGGUUAGUGUCAUCACGAAAAAGGAAUUUUUCACCGCAACCGCUCAGUCGACCCACUUGCUGGAUGGUCGAUGGCAUUCGAUUACUGGAAGCGUAGUUCCACCGAAGAGAUUGUUUUCCUACCAUCAAAUCAACGUUUAUAUAGACUCGGUGCAGAAGCUUGGAUCAACGAUGAAAUAUGCAGCAUUUGCCGAGGUGAAUAUUAUAUGUGUACCGCCAAAACCUGCUACAGUAGAUGAUUAGAAUUCGAAGAAAUAAAAGUUUUUGACACGUUAAUU